Molecule: small nuclear RNA, 156 nt
Filed under: Panthera leo (lion)
Lineage: Eukaryota; Metazoa; Chordata; Mammalia; Carnivora; Felidae
Description: U2 spliceosomal RNA (ENSPLOG00000021500.1)
Rfam family: U2 spliceosomal RNA
About the family: U2 is a small nuclear RNA (snRNA) component of the spliceosome (involved in pre-mRNA splicing). Complementary binding between U2 snRNA (in an area lying towards the 5' end but 3' to hairpin I) and the branchpoint sequence (BPS) of the intron results the bulging out of an unpaired adenosine, on the BPS, which initiates a nucleophilic attack at the intronic 5' splice site, thus starting the first of two transesterification reactions that mediate splicing.
Source: Rfam by way of RNAcentral
AUCGCUUCUCGGCCUUCUGGCUAAGAUCAAGUGUAGUAUAAUUUAUUAGGCUUUAGUUGUUAUUCAUUUUAUUAUUACAGGUGUUUUUCCUAUUAGAAGAAUAUUCACACACUCUCCUCCAUCCCGUUAGCUCGUCUCUGUCAUGGUGGUCACAUC